UACAGAGACCUCAAGCGUUAUCCGGAUUUAUUGGGCGUAAAGAGCUGGUAGGUGGUUAUAUUAGUCAGAUGUCAAAUCUUCGAGCUCAACUCGAAAACUGCAUUUGAAACGGUAUAACUAGAGGGUGUGAGAGAUCUAUGGAACUCAUGGUGUAGCAGUGAAAUGCGUUGAUAUCAUGAGGAACACCAAAGGCGAAGGCAUUAGAUUGGCACACUCCUGACACUGAGCAGCGAAAGCGUGGGUAGCGAAUGGG
RNAcentral lists this ribosomal RNA (253 nucleotides) under uncultured bacterium. Its description in RNAcentral is "partial 16S ribosomal RNA". It matches the Rfam family "Bacterial small subunit ribosomal RNA", at positions 524 to 776 of the family's 1533-position model. The record is from RNAcentral.